This 1266-nucleotide long non-coding RNA is filed under the name Numida meleagris (helmeted guineafowl). RNAcentral's name for it is "lncRNA (ENSNMEG00000012126.1)". Lineage: Eukaryota; Metazoa; Chordata; Aves; Galliformes; Numididae. The record is from RNAcentral.
GGUUUGGUCUCCUUGUCCUUUCAAACCCUCAGGAAAAUGUCAUGGCUGAGGCAGAAGUUGACCCCCUGUGCUUGGAAAGCUACCUGUCCAUCCUCCAAGCUCUAUCUGCUCUUCUUCCUUUGAAAGAAGCUGCUUCCUGCUGUCCCAUGAUGCUCAAUAACCUCCUCCCACCCCAUACUCAUAGACCUAGGGAGAACUUCUUCCUGUAUUUCCUCUGUCAGCCCUCCUCCAGCUCUCUGCAAAAUUAACAGCUCUCCUAACCUCUCCUUUUUCUUCCCCUCUAAUAGCCACAAGGUUCCAAGGCUGGAAACAUGAAGACCCAUUUCCCCUACACAUCCCACGGUGAGGGAAGCAACAUGGUCAUACAUCGCCCCUUUUUUUCCCCAAAUUUCCAUUUCAUUGCUAUCACCUGGUGCUGCUGCAGCAAUAGAUUGGGCAAGCAGCAAUGGUAUGGAAGCCUCCUUCAAGUGCUCUGGGUUUUUCCACAUCUCCCCCACUUUGCUUUGGCAGGGAAUGGAGUUUUCAGCUGGGAAGAGAGUGCUCCAUGCCAAACACCCCCAGUUUUCCAGUGGAAGAGCAGAAAUAUGCACGCUAACAUGCUAUGAAUGGGUAGUACUCUUCGGGGGGGGGGGGGAGCAUAUUAAAAAGCCCAUGGUUUCCAGAGAGAAAAUACCCUGUUUUCCCACCCAAACUUAUUUCUUUCUCAUAAGCCUAAGGCAACACCUCUGCUCGUUUGCAGCAGUUUCUGGCUGGCGCCGGGCUCUUGGGGCAGUUAUCAGAGGAAAUGUAGAAAUUGAAGGGAUUUGAAGUGGGAUUGGAAGCUGGAUUUGGAGCUGACCGAGCUGGUGACAGCAGCUUCCUGGGGUGCCUGGGGACCAGCUCACGGUCCCUGUGCCCUACAGCCAUCACUGAAGGCGCCCAACGCUGCAGUUUCCCAUUCUGUGAGAUGCAAAGGGGAAUUUGCUCUGGAGCUGAGCACGGAAGGGAAAAUACAGAAGAAAAAAGGAGAUACAAAAGCUGGUGUCAAAGCCCGUCUCAUCUCCUGCAUCCAUCUGGCAGGCCCUUCAGAUGUGCCCUCGUGUUUGUACACCCCAUGCCUGGCAUUUUAUAUAUGCCCAUAUUCACCCUGUUCUUGCUGCUUUCCUGGCCUUUCCCCUCUCUUCCACUCUCUGAUUUAUGUAAUUUGAAGUCCUGGUUGGGAGCUGAUAUUAUGACACGUCCAGACUUCAAAAUAAACCUCCCUCUUGAUACUGGGUUAUUUUAUUG